CUUAAACUCCUGACCUCAAAUGAUCCACCCACCUCGGCCUCCCAGAGUAUUGGGAUUAUAGGCAUAAGCCACCGUGCCCGGCCAAGGCUAUGUAGCUCUUUUCUUAGGCCACGUAGCUCACUCUUUUCUUAGGCUGUGUAGUUCACUUUCCCAGUGCAAACUUUGGGAAAAGCUCUGUGCCACAGGCUCCAUUCCUGUUUGCCACAUCACAAAUACCAAUCAUUGCUCUAAGGAGUGGAUGAUUUGAUGAGAAUAUUCAGUUCUUACACCACUACUAGAGGAGGAACACUGACUGCCUUGUCGUGGAUGUGGUCUGGCAGUUUCUGUAGGUAGGAGUGGUGGAUUGUCUCCAAAUGUGGCCACCGACAGUGCCUCCCAUUCCUGUGUGUGCAUGCUGCUUCUCCCACUAGAAGGUGUCUUUUACUUUCCUUCUCUUUGCAUCUGGAACUUGUUUUGACCAGUUGGACCUAGCAGAAGUGGGGCCCUGUGACUUCCAGGCCUUAUGAAAUCUUGUAGCAUUGUUUUUCCCUUUUAGAGCCAGCUGUGAUGUAAAGAAGUUUGUGCUGCAUGAGAGAGAUAGCACCUGAAGAAAAUGAGGCCCUGGAGGAUGAGAGACUCUAAAGGAAAAGGGAAGGGCCUGCUGUCUUCCAGCCACGCCAGCCCCCAACUGAGAAGCUGGGUGAAGCCAUCUUGCAUCUUUAGCCCCAGUCAAGUUACCUCAGCAAAGACUAGCUGACCCUGCCAAGCCCUGCCCAAGUUACAGAAUCAUGAGCAAAUAAAUGGCUGUUUCUGUUUUAAGCUUUUAAAUUUUGGGGGUGGUUUAUGUGUCAAUAAUAACUGAAACAGAUAAUAUAUACAGAAUAAACUUUAGUUUUAAUAAUCUAAGUAAAAGCCCACUAAUUCAUUAUGCAGAAAAAAAUGAUUUUUUUGAGACGGGGUCUCGCUCUGUUGCCAGGCUGGAGUGCUGUGGCACAACCAUAGCUCACUGCAGCCUCCACCUCCCUGGUUCAAGCGAUCUUCCCACCUCAGCCUCCCGAGUAGUUGAGACCACAGGUAUGUGCCACAACACCUGACUAAUUUUGUAAAUUUUUUGUAGAGAUGGGGUCCUGCCAUAUUGCUGAGGCUGGUCUCUAACUUCUGGGCUCAAGCCAUCCUCCUGCCUCAGCCUCCCAAAGUAUUAGGAUUACAGUGCCCUUGGUGUGGUGGAAGCAAGGUGCCAUGUGAUAAGUAAGCCUCCAGAGAGGCCUGCAUGGCAGGAUCCAAUGUCUUUAGCCAACAGCAUCUGGGAACCUGAGACCUGCCAACACCCUUGUGAGUGAGCCUGGAAGUGGACCUCCUGCUCUUGAACCUUGAGGUGACUAUAGUGCUGGCUGACACCUUGACUGCAGUCCCUGAGCUGGGGGGCCCAGCUGAUCUACUCCCAGAAUCCCCCCUACUAAAACAGUGAUAUAAUAAAUGCUUAUUGUUUCAAGCUGGUAACUUUUGGAAUGCAUUCACUGAAAAAAAUUAGAAUAUCAAACUAUAAACCGUUUACUUAGUCAACUUUUUGGGGAACUAAUAUGGCCAUAAAUAUCAAACCUCCUACAAUUUUGCACAUUCUUUGACUUUGUAGUUCUACAUCUAUAAACUUCUCUUAAGGGAAAUCAUGGAUGCCAACAAAGAAAUAGUUACAAAAAUGUUCAGCAGAGGAGCACUAUUUAUAAUGGCAAAUUGGUGGUGAUCCAUAUAUCCAAAGAUGGGAUUGAGUGACUAAAUCAUGGAAUCACCUCUAAUAGAACAGGAUGGGAUUCAUUAGUGAGUUUUAAAAACAGUAAAGGGAUUUGCCACUGGCAUUUGAAAAGACAA
RNAcentral lists this long non-coding RNA (1845 nucleotides) under Homo sapiens (human). RNAcentral's name for it is "PREDICTED lncRNA (TCONS_00087971)". The record is from RNAcentral. Lineage: Eukaryota; Metazoa; Chordata; Mammalia; Primates; Hominidae.